AUGAACGCUGGCGGCGCGCCUAAUACAUGCAAGUCGAGCGAGAAGACGUAGCAAUACGUUUGUAAAGCGGCGAACGGGUGAGGAAUACAUGGGUAACCUACCCUCGAGUGGGGAAUAACUAGCCGAAAGGUUAGCUAAUACCGCGUACGCUUCUUGGACUUCGGUUCAGGGAGGAAAGCGAUACCGUGGGUAUCGCGCUCUUGGAUGGGCUCAUGUCCUAUCAGCUUGUUGGGAGGUAACGGCUCACCAAGGCUUCGACGGGUAGCUGGUCUGAGAGGACGAUCAGCCACACUGGCACUGCGACACGGGCCAGACUCCUACGGGAGGCAGCAGUAAGGAAUAUUGCGCAAUGGGCGAAAGCCUGACGCAGCGACGCCGCGUGGGGGA
RNAcentral lists this ribosomal RNA (387 nucleotides) under uncultured bacterium. RNAcentral's name for it is "bacterial SSU rRNA". It matches the Rfam family "Bacterial small subunit ribosomal RNA", at positions 29 to 408 of the family's 1533-position model. The record is from RNAcentral.